RNAcentral lists this ribosomal RNA (1567 nucleotides) under human gut metagenome. RNAcentral describes it as "bacterial LSU rRNA". It matches the Rfam family "Bacterial large subunit ribosomal RNA", at positions 420 to 1983 of the family's 2925-position model. The record is from RNAcentral.
GGACACGUGUAAUCCUGACCGAAUCCGCCGGGACCAUCCGGCAAGGCUAAAUACUCCCGAGAGACCGAUAGUGAACCAGUACCGUGAGGGAAAGGUGAAAAGCACUUCGAACAGAAGAGUGAAAUAGUUCCUGAACCCAUACGCCUACAAGCUGUCGGAGCCGCUUCGUGCGGUGACGGCGUGCCUUUUGCAUAAUGAGCCUACGAGUUACUCAUCACCAGCGAGGUUAAGUACUUCAGGUACGUAAGCCGAAGCGAAAGCGAGUCUGAAUAGGGCGUCAAGUUGGUGGUGGUAGACGCGAAACCUUAGUGAUCUACCCAUGGGCAGGGUGAAGGUUUGGUAACACAAACUGGAGGCCCGAACCGGUAAACGUUGAAAAGUUUUCGGAUGACCUGUGGGUAGGGGUGAAAGGCCAAUCAAACUGGGAAAUAGCUCGUACUCUCCGAAAUGCAUUUAGGUGCAGCCUCUGUUGUUUUGUUCUAGAGGUAGAGCUACUGAUUGGAUGCGAGGGCUUCACCGCCUAUCAAAUCCGGCCAAACUCCGAAUGCUAGAACAUGAAGACAGGGAGUGAGCCAGCGGGUGCUAAGGUCCGUUGACGAAAGAGGGAGAACUCAGACCAUCAGCUAAGGUCCCCAAUUAUAUGCUAAGUUGGAAUAAAAACGGGGUGGGACUGCUUAGACAGCUAGGAUGUUGGCUUGGAAGCAGCCAUUCAUUUAAAGAGUGCGUAACAGCUCACUAGUCGAGCGGUCCUGCAUGGAUAAUACGCGGGCAUAAGCAUAUAACCGAAGCUAUGGGAUUGUAGAUGAUACAAUCGGUAGGAGAGCAUUCCAUUCAGCAUAGAAGCAGUAUCGUGAGGUAUUGUGGAGCGGAUGGAAAAGCAAAUGUAGGCAUAAGUAACGAUAAUGCGGGUGAGAACCCCGCACGCCGAAAGAUCAAGGAUUCCCCGGCAAUGUCAAUCAUCCGGGGGUAAGUCGGAUCCUAAGGGUAAGCCGAGUGGCGAUCCCGAUGGCAAACAGGUUAAUAUUCCUGUACUGAUCAUAACUGCGAUGCAGCGACGCAGAGGUGACACUGCUGCGUACUGACGGAAUAGUACGUUGAAACCCGUAUUCUUUGAUACCGGUAGUGAAGCACGCCGGUAGAGAUGAAAGGUGAUAGUACCGCAAUGCUUCGGUUGCGCGGAUAAUGCAGGUAAGCUGACUGCCAAGAAAACCUGCUAAGCUUCAGGUAAUGAUCAUCCGUACUGUAAACGGACACACGUGAUCAGGUAGAAAAUACUAAGGCGCUCGAGAGAUUCAUGGUUAAGGAACUAGGCAAAAUGGUCCUGUAACUUCGGGAUAAAGGACGCUCUUGUGAAAGAGCCGCAGAUAAUAGGCCCAGGCGACUGUUUACCAAAAACACAUGGCUAUGCUAAUUCGCAAGAAGAUGUAUAUGGCCUGACACCUGCCCGGUGCCGGAAGGUUAAGAGGAGAGCUCAGAGGUAACUCGAAGGUUUGAAUUGAAGCCCCGGUAAACGGCGGCCGUAACUAUAACGGUCCUAAGGUAGCGAAAUUCCUUGUCGGGUAAGUUC